UACGGGGGGGGCAAGCGUUGGUCGGAAUUACUGGGCGUAAAGGGCUCGUAGGCGGCCAACUAAGUCGAACGUGAAAUCCCUCAGCUUAACUGGGGAACUGCGUCCGAUACUGAUUGGCUUGAAUCCGGAAGAGGGAUGCGGAAUUCCAGGUGUAGCGGUGAAAUGCGUAGAUAUCUGGAGGAACACCGGUGGCGAAGGCGGCAUCCUGGGUCGGUAUUGACGCUGAGGAGCGAAAGCCAGGGGAGCAAACGGG
This 253-nucleotide ribosomal RNA is filed under the name uncultured bacterium. RNAcentral's name for it is "partial 16S ribosomal RNA". It matches the Rfam family "Bacterial small subunit ribosomal RNA", at positions 524 to 776 of the family's 1533-position model. The record is from RNAcentral.